This is a long non-coding RNA of Paramisgurnus dabryanus, 421 nucleotides long. RefSeq lists it as uncharacterized. NCBI's taxonomy places the organism in Eukaryota, Metazoa, Chordata, Actinopteri, Cypriniformes, Cobitidae. The record is from RefSeq and is a predicted model, not a curated record.
AUAUUACUGCCUCUUGGGAAAACAGCAGACUGUACUCCAGACAGAGACAAAGACAUGAGGACAUCCAUUGCUUUUAAGUCCUAUACCAGACUAUGUUGUUCCAGCUGUCUGGGUAAAGACUGAUACAUUACUGCCUCUUGGAGAACAGCAAACCAUUAUCCAGACAGAGACAAAGACAUGGACAUCAAAACAGAAAAUUAAGUACUUUAUCAUGGAUUGUUUGGAGUGAAUGCUGACAAAUAAUGAAGCAGGAAAUGAAAAUCCUUGACCAAAACAAUUUUUGUACUUGGCUGUAAGAAGUCCUUUGUGUGCACAGACAUGACUGGAGAUUAAAGUUACUAAAUGUUGCUUUUUUUCUAGCUGGUGACAUAACAUGAUAUUAUUUUCAAAUGUAUUUAUCUAAUACACAUUUGCACAUCUG